GCAGGCGCGAAAACUUUACAAUGCGGGAAACCGCGAUAAGGGGACACUGAGUGCCAGCACCAUGUGUUGGCUGUCCGCAUGUAUAAAUCACAUGUGUCAGCAAGGGCCGGGCAAGACCGGUGCCAGCCGCCGCGGUAACACCGGCGGCCCGAGUGGUGGCCAUUAUUAUUGGGUCUAAAGGGUCCGUAGCCGGUUUGAUCAGUCUUCCGGGAAAUCUGACAGCUCAACUGUUAGGCUUCUGGGGGAUACUGUCAGACUUGGAACCGGGAGAGGUAAGAGGUACUACAGGGGUAGGAGUGAAAUCUUGUAAUCCUUGUGGGACCACCAGUGGCGAAGGCGUCUUACCAGAACGGGUUCGACGGUGAGGGACGAAAGCUGGGGGCACGAACCGGAUUAGAUACCCGGGUAGUCCCAGCCGUAAACGAUGCUCGCUAGGUGUCUGGGAUGGUGCGACCGUUUCAGGUGCCGCAGGGAAGCC
RNAcentral lists this ribosomal RNA (478 nucleotides) under uncultured Methanolobus sp. RNAcentral describes it as "bacterial SSU rRNA". It matches the Rfam family "Archaeal small subunit ribosomal RNA", at positions 335 to 813 of the family's 1478-position model. The record is from RNAcentral. Lineage: Archaea; Methanobacteriati; Methanobacteriota; Methanomicrobia; Methanosarcinales; Methanosarcinaceae.